CCUACGGGAGGCAGCAGUGGGGAAUCUUGCGCAAUGGGCGAAAGCCUGACGCAGCCAUGCCGCGUGAAUGAUGAAGGUCUUAGGAUUGUAAAAUUCUUUCACCGGGGACGAUAAUGACGGUACCCGGAGAAGAAGCCCCGGCUAACUUCGUGCCAGCAGCCGCGGUAAUACGAAGGGGGCUAGCGUUGCUCGGAAUUACUGGGCGUAAAGGGAGCGUAGGCGGAUAGUUUAGUCAGAGGUGAAAGCCCAGGGCUCAACCUUGGAAUUGCCUUUGAUACUGGCUAUCUUGAGUUUGGGAGAGGUGAGUGGAACUCCGAGUGUAGAGGUGAAAUUCGUAGAUAUUCGGAAGAACACCAGUGGCGAAGGCGACUCACUGGCCCAAUACUGACGCUGAGGCUCGAAAGCGUGGGGAGCAAACAGGAUUAGAUACCCUGGUAGUCCACGCCGUAAACGAUGAGUGCUAGUUGUCGGCAUGCAUGCAUGUCGGUGACGCAGCUACGCAUAAGACACUCCGCCGUCGGGAGGUACGGUCGCGAGAUAAACGUACGAAGAAGUAGACGCGNGAGACGUGCGACGGACGACGACGAGGGAGAGG
RNAcentral lists this ribosomal RNA (595 nucleotides) under uncultured bacterium. RNAcentral's name for it is "bacterial SSU rRNA". The stretch from base 1 to 516 matches the Rfam family "Bacterial small subunit ribosomal RNA", at positions 338 to 873 of the family's 1533-position model. The record is from RNAcentral.